This 347-nucleotide unclassified non-coding RNA is filed under the name soil metagenome. RNAcentral describes it as "partial contains 5.8S ribosomal RNA, internal transcribed spacer 2, and large subunit ribosomal RNA". The stretch from base 1 to 120 matches the Rfam family "5.8S ribosomal RNA", at positions 35 to 154 of the family's 154-position model. The record is from RNAcentral.
GAUGAAGAACGUAGCAAAAUGCGAUAAGUAAUGUGAAUUGCAGAAUUCAGUGAAUCAUCGAAUCUUUGAACGCACAUUGCGCCCGCUGGUAUUCCGGCGGGCAUGCCUGUUCGAGCGUCAUUUCAACCCUCAAGCCCCCGGGUUUGGUGUUGGGGAUCGGCUCUGCCCUUCUGGGCGGUGCCGCCCCCGAAAUACAUUGGCGGUCUCGCUGCAGCCUCCAUUGCGUAGUAGCUAACACCUCGCAACUGGAACGCGGCGCGGCCAUGCCGUAAAACCCCAACUUCUGAAUGUUGACCUCGGAUCAGGUAGGAAUACCCGCUGAACUUAAGCAUAUCAAUAAGCGGGGA